This 1382-nucleotide ribosomal RNA is filed under the name Amanita populiphila. RNAcentral's name for it is "eukaryotic LSU rRNA". It matches the Rfam family "Eukaryotic large subunit ribosomal RNA", at positions 71 to 1417 of the family's 3401-position model. Lineage: Eukaryota; Fungi; Basidiomycota; Agaricomycetes; Agaricales; Amanitaceae. The record is from RNAcentral.
AGGAUUCCCCUAGUAACUGCGAGUGAAGCGGGAAAAGCUCAAAUUUGAAAUCUGGCAGUCUUUUUUUUCUUCUUUGGCUGUCCGAGUUGUAAUCUAGAGAAGUGCUUACCUGCACUGGACCAUGUAUAAGUCUCCUGGAAUGGAGCGUCACAGAGGGUGAGAAUCCCGUCUUUGACAUGGACUGCCAGUGUGUUGUGGUGUGCUCUCAAAGAGUCGAGUUGUUUGGGAAUGCAGCUCUAAAUGGGUGGUAAACUCCAUCUAAAGCUAAAUAUUGGCGAGAGACCGAUAGUGAACAAGUACCGUGAGGGAAAGAUGAAAAGGACUUUGGAAAGAGAGUUAAACAGUAUGUGAAAUUGUUGAAAGGGAAACGCUUGAAGUCAGUUAUGUUGGCUGGGGAUCAACCUAGCUAUUUUUUUGCUGGGUGAAUUUCCUAGUCUGACAGGCCAACAUCAGUCUUGACUGCUGGAAAAGAGCAGAGGGAAUGUGGCACCUUUGGGUGUGUUAUAGCCCUUCGUCAUAUGUGGCAGUUGGGACUGAGGGAUGCAGCAUGCCGUGAGGCUGGGUCUUUGACCACGUUCAUGCUUAGGAUGUUGGCUUUUAAUGGCUUCAAUCGACCCGUCUUGAAACACGGACCAAGGAGUCUAACAUGCCUGCGAGUGUUUGGGUGGGGAAAACCCUUGUGCACAAUGAAAGUGAAAGUUGAGAUCCCUGUCAUGGGGAGCAUCGACGCCCGGACCUGAGCUUUUAGCGACGGAUCCGCGGUAGAGCAUGCAUGUUGGGACCCGAAAGAUGGUGAACUAUGCCUGAAUAGGGCAAAGCCAGAGGAAACUCUGGUGGAGGCUCGUAGCGAUUCUGACGUGCAAAUCGAUCGUCAAAUUUGGGUAUAGGGGCGAAAGACUAAUCGAACCAUCUAGUAGCUGGUUCCUGCCGAAGUUUCCCUCAGGAUAGCAGAAGCUCAUUAUCAGAUUUAUGUGGUAAAGCGAAUGAUUAGAGGCCUUGGGGUUGAAACAACCUUAACCUAUUCUCAAACUUUAAAUAUGUAAGAACGAGCUGUCACUUGACUGGACUGCUCGGUGAUUGAGAGCUUCUAGUGGGCCAUUUUUGGUAAGCAGAACUGGCGAUGCGGGAUGAACCGAUCGCAAGGUUAAGGUGCCAGAGUUCACGCUCAUCAGACACCACAAAAGGUGUUAGUUCAUCUAGACAGCAGGACGGUGGCCAUGGAAGUCGGAACCCGCUAAGGAGUGUGUAACAACUCACCUGCCGAAUGAACUAGCCCUGAAAAUGGAUGGCGCUUAAGCGUGACACCCAUACCUUGCUGUCAGUGUUGAAGUGAUGCACUGACAAGUAGGCAGGCGUGGAGGUCAGUGAAGAAGCCUAGGCAG